UACGGAGGAUCCAAGCGUUAUCCGGAUUCAUUGGGUUUAAAGGGUGCGUAGGCGGAAUGAUAAGUCAGUGGUGAAAGCCCUCAGCUUAACUGAGGAACUGCGUCUGAUACUGGAUGGCUUGAGAUUGGGAGAGGGAUGCGGAAUUCCAGGUGUAGCGGUGAAAUGCGUAGAUAUCUGGAGGAACACCGGUGGCGAAGGCGGCAUCCUGGACCAACACUGACACUGAGGAGCGAAAGCCAGGGGAGCAAACGGG
RNAcentral lists this ribosomal RNA (253 nucleotides) under uncultured bacterium. RNAcentral describes it as "partial 16S ribosomal RNA". It matches the Rfam family "Bacterial small subunit ribosomal RNA", at positions 524 to 776 of the family's 1533-position model. The record is from RNAcentral.